AACGAACGCUGGCGGCAUGCCUAACACAUGCAAGUCGAACGAGACCUUCGGGUCUAGUGGCGCACGGGUGCGUAACACGUGGGAACCUGCCCUUAGGUUCGGAAUAACUCCCCGAAAGGGGUGCUAAUACCGGAUAAUGUCUUCGGACCAAAGAUUUAUCGCCUUUGGAUGGGCCCGCGUUGGAUUAGCUAGUUGGUAGGGUAAAAGCCUACCAAGGCGACGAUCCAUAGCUGGUCUGAGAGGAUGAUCAGCCACACUGGGACUGAGACACGGCCCAGACUCCUACGGGAGGCAGCAGUGGGGAAUAUUGGACAAUGGGCGAAAGCCUGAUCCAGCAAUGCCGCGUGAGUGAUGAAGGCCUUAGGGUUGUAAAGCUCUUUUACCCGGGAUGAUAAUGACAGUACCGGGAGAAUAAGCGCCGGCUAACUCCGUG
RNAcentral lists this ribosomal RNA (433 nucleotides) under uncultured bacterium. RNAcentral describes it as "partial 16S ribosomal RNA". It matches the Rfam family "Bacterial small subunit ribosomal RNA", at positions 29 to 507 of the family's 1533-position model. The record is from RNAcentral.